CUGCGUAGCUAAAAGCAGAGUUCAGUUCACUUCUUCAGUCACUAUUUUCUUUUUGAAUUGGACGGUCCGGGAGUUGAAAUUGUCGCGGAAAUAUUGUUUGCCAAGAAUUUUGUUCCUCGAUUUGUUCAUUUUUGUUACAGUCUAGUCGAAAUUGUAGUGUGAAUUUUUGGUGUUGAGAAAUUUGUCAAGUCUACCCACCAUGCUGACGUACCGUAUCACAACUCAGCCCACAGACCUAGUAAGCUAGGAUCCGCUCUAGCUAGACUUCUAGACUUCCUGGAGUAUGAACUUGAAAAUUACAUAUAAAGUGUACCACAGUUUUCUAACGCGCUCCGUCAAAUUUGUGACAAUCACUUGGAUUGUGUAGUUUUUACAUUUUCGUGUGAAAUAACUAGUGUAGAAAAGUACAAUAGUGUUACAAAUAGUGUAAAAAAACUACACUAGUGAUGUACAAGAUUGUUAAAACAUUGUGCUGGAUAUUCGUGAUAUUAUUAUAGUUGGAGUUCGAUAGCUUUUUGUGUAGUCUUGAUUUGCCCAGCUGUUGAACAGACCAACUUCUAGUGGGACAUCAAAUCAAAAUAAAAUUGUUUCCAGCGAUUGAACCAAUUGACAGACUAUUAUUCGAAUCUGAUAUGAAUCAAGCUAGUGGACUGGACUAAUUCUUUGAUCUUCAAAUCUUUGUUUCAUCUUUUCAAGUGCUGCUGAUUAGAUAUUCAACUUGAUCUGAACCAUUGAAUCUCGUAACGGAAAGAAAGUGUUGUCUACAAUAAAAUAGAGGGACGUGAGUUUGCCAUUAAACAUCCACUGCAAGUUACCAUAACCUCAAAUCUUCACAAUUGACCUUGAGACGUCAGAAUCAGAAAUAAUCUUCAAACUUCAGAAAGGACGUCAACUUAAAAACUAUCCUUGAAACUUUGUAAAUGAAUACAAAGUCUUACAGAUAACCUUGAAACCUCAAGAAUUCCCUAACAAUAACCUCGAAACCUUCAGAAUAAUUACUUCAUAACCUACCUCAAAAACAUCAGAAUUAACUUGAAAACUCCAGAAGAACUUUGAGUUCUGGUGAAUAGUGGAAGAACAUUGAACUAGACCUAGAAACUCGACUGAACAUUGAAAGUGAGGUUAGUUCAACUAUUGGAAGCAAUCCCAACUGGCAACUGGAUUGAACAGCUGAGCUCUGUUUAGCAAAACUAUCUUCAGUUCUUCUGUGUUGAGUAUUUGUACACCAAUUGUUGACAGAAGCAUUUACACAAAACCUUCAGAGAUUCCACAACAGGUGUGAUAGAUAAAACUACAAUUCUACGACUGUAGAUCAGACCAAUCCUCAGUUCUUCAGUAUUAACUGUGUUGAAUAUUUGUACAACAGAAUCAUUCACGCAAACCAAUCUGAAAGUCUACAACAUCCCUUACAGUUGGUCAAACCAAUUCAGUUCUUCAGUAUCAACUGUGGUGAAUAUUUGUACAACAGAAUCAUUCACACAAAACAAUCUGAAAGUCUACAGAAUCUGUGAUAGAUAUUUGUGAGCCAAACUGUUCGCAUUUGUGCAAUAUCAAAGGUGUUGAAUAUUUGAGACUCAGCUGCUGAAAAGAAUAUUGAGCCUAAAUCUUGUUGUUUUGCAAGUAUGUUUUUGUGUGUGCAAAUUGGCGCCCAACAGGUGGGCCUGCUGAAAUAAAAUUUGAGGUUAGGUGGUUUGUGGUAAUUGAGGUUAGGUUUUCAUCCAGCAGCCUACCACACUCCCCAUCACAUGUGUAUAAGGUUUCACAGUUUUAUCUUGAACGAAGUACGGACUACCCGGAGAUCUAUAUUGAUAUCAAAUUUGGUACAUUCGCGCUGGCACUGUUACGAUUUUACAUCUCUAUUUCGUUAUGUGCUCUACGAAGAUCCUUUCGAGGUUUGGUGAUAAUUAACCAUUAAACAAUUCAACACCACCCCACAAACACUUAUUACCUUUGCAAUGCCAAGUGAUUAAUUAUUAUUAGUUAGACUACUUAAAUGUUUAUAGACUACUUAACAAUUGAUUAGUUCUACGCAUAAUUUCUGAUCUCAUUUAGUUUUUAUGUGAGAGGCACAAUGUGGUCUAGUUUUUUAUAUUUAUGGCUGUGCUUAUAGUUUAAGAAACAUCAAUUGUUUGUUUUGUACAGAGCUACCGGUUGCUAAAGUGAUCAGCAAUACAUAUUAUUAUAUAUAUACAGAAUAUAUAUAUAUAUUAUAGUAAUUUAGAGGGCGCUUCUGUGAUUUUUGAUCAGAGAAAUACUACCAUCAAAGGUGCAAUAUUUGAAGAGUUCUGGUGGAUCUACCAACUUGAAGACAAGAGAGGUGAAAAAAAGUUGGAAAAAUCUUGUGGAGCUCUCCAAAAAUAACCAGAAAAUUUUAGAAAAAAGUUCUAUCUAGAAGACAAGCAUCUAGCAAUAACAAGACCAUCAAGGUAGAAAAUAAGUUGAUGUGCAAGGAAUUGCAAGGAUUAUCUGGGUGAAUUGUCGAGAAACAGUCUUAGAUUUGAUACAGUUAUCAUCUAUUAGAGUUGUUUUUCAUAAGAGACUAUUUGUUGAACGUUGAAGAAUUAAUAACAUCCCAGUAUUAUUAGACCUGCAUUUCCCAAACAUUUGCACCUAUUUUUGAGGCACCUGAAGAUCUUCCCAACUUUGCCCAAAUUGGAGAAUCUCGCAUUCAUUCUUGAGGUACAAAAAACAUCCUUCAGCAUUUUCCAAUUAUCAGAUCUGCAGUUGCUGGUAAUUGCAGUUAAUUCGGUUUGUAGACUCUACUGAGAAUCUCAAGACUUUUCAACUAAAACAUCUGUAGUUUCUUCUGGAAUUUGACUCGGAGGGGGCAAUACAACAUAUAACUUCUGAGGCCCCAAAAGUUUCCUUCUACCAGAACAUCUGCUGUAUUUUCUGGAAUUUUACUCUGCAGCAAUAGAACCCAUAACUUCUGAAGGACCAAAAGUGUUAUUCUACCAGAACAUCUGCAGCUUCUUCAGGAAUUUGACUUGAGGGAAUACAACCUAUAGCUGCUGAAACACCAAAAAGGUUCUUCAACCAAACCAUCUGCAGUUUCCUCUAGGAUUUGUCACCAAGGCAAUUCUACGCUAAAGCAAGUGGGAAUGGUAUACCUGUUGGAUGAUUGGGGUAUGGGAGAUUCUCAACUGUUGAGAACCAGCAAUAGCUCAGUGCACCAUUUGCAAGUCCAGCACAAUGUUGUCAGCAACUCGUUCCUCAACCAUCACCAUCAUCAUCAGCAGCAGCAGCAUGGAAACCGCAGACAUCUGGACUCGGAUGACUUUGGACAUGAUGCCGAUGACGAUGAUGAUGGAGAGGAUGAUGAGGAAGAGGAGGAGGAUGAUGAGAUAUCACUGUUUCCCCUGAAGAAUCAGGUUGGAGGACAUACUAGACUUUUGCUACUAGAUCAGUCUACAAUAUGCAAACCUCUCAACCCGAGGGAGCUGCACUUUUACCAGAACAUUCCUCACGACAUUCAGAUGUUUGUUCCAAAGUACAAGGGUGUAAUGCAGGCGACAAGCAGUGGCAACAUGAAGCUUGACAAACGCUACUCGCCACAUUUCCGGCAAUCGGAUGGCAACCGACGCAGCAAACGUGACGCAAACGGAGACGUACUGCGCAUGCGCGUCACUAGUCGAGUGAUGACGUCACCGCCGCCGCCAGAUAGCGCCAACAAGCAGUACUUCCUGCUGUUGGAGAACAUCACGUCGACUUACAGCAACCCGUGCAUCCUGGACCUGAAGAUGGGAACUCGGCAACAUGGGGAUGACGCGUCGGCCGAGAAGAGAUCAAAGCAGAUGGCCAAAUGUGCCGCUAGCACCUCGGCGUCGCUGGGAGUCCGGCUGUGCGGAAUGCAGGUGUACCAAGCCGACACGGACAGCUAUAUCAAACGGGACAAGUAUUGGGGGAGAGAAUUGGACGAGGGAGGUCUUAAGAGUGCUCUCUAUAGGUUUUUCCACAACGGGUAUUCAUUGAGGCGGUCGGCAGUGCAGAGAGUGAUCGGCAGACUGGAAAAGCUCAGACGGGUCAUUGAGAAGCAGAGUAGCUAUCGAUUCUAUUCAUGCUCUCUGCUUGUAGUCUACGACGGCAGUAUACGGCCUCCUCACUCCUCCUCACUGUUGGACCUGGAUCCCAGUGACGAUGGUACCCGUGAUUCUGAGGAGGAGGAAGAGGAUGAGGAGGAGAGUGCAGGAGGGAGUAGUGGAGGGGAUGAUUUGCUGAAACAUGGGAGAUUUGGAGAGACUGCCGCUCGUUCAUUUUAUCCUAUAUCUGAAGAGACUAUGGAUGUUAGUGCGAUGUCAAGUAGUCCAUCAUCACCAUACACAAUGUCGCCGAUGUCAGUUGACAGCAACAACUGUUGGUACCACCCGAAUGGGCGUGGUCAUGGUGGGGGGCGUGGCUUGGGAGGCGUGGCUUCAGCCGCUCUAACUGACUCCGCCCCUCAUUUGCACCGCAGCAGCCGCCAUCUUGGCGAGGAGUGUUCCUCUUCAGAAGAUGCAUCUUCAUCAUCGCUCAGCACAUUUAAUCUGCUGACAUCGCAGACAACAAUGGCUGCUGCCAAGCGACGCAACGAUGUGAUGUUACACAGAAUGGAGGAAGAAGACGAUGACAGCAAUCAAUGCGACACCCUCUACCAUAAGUCCAAACCCAUCUGCGACACUCUUCCUUCGACAAAACGCAAAUGCUCCGACAACCUGGCACCACACCAGGUCACCGACAAACUGUUACCCUAUCAGGACAAACUAUUCCACCACCUUGACACAGUCCCCGACAAACUGUUACCACUCCAGGACACCGACAAACUGUUCUACAAUCCCGACAAACUAAUUCACCACCUUGAAUCAGUCCCCAACAAGUUGUUACCCCUUCAGGACACCGACAAACUGUUCCACCACCUUGACACAGUCCCAGACAAACUUGAGGAACCGGACCAGUUGCCCACUAGGUCACUGCCCACCAAUGUACCCAAGACCAAUAAUCGUAGAGUGGUGGCCAGAUCGAACACAGCUCUUGCAAUCGAGCCGCAAGUCGAUGUCAGAGUGAUUGAUUUUGCGCACACCACAUUCAGUACAAGGCGUGGAUCGUCAACUGCUGGAAGUGCAUUGAAUAAUGGGACGGUCCAUCAUGGGCCAGAUUGUGGAUUCUUGACCGGGUUGGAUAGUUUGAAGCGGUUGUUGAUGGAGAUACUGAGCGAUGAUGCCGAGCUGUAGAGGGUUGUUGAGUAGGUUUUGAGGUUAUGUGAGGAAAUUUUGAGGUUAGGUAAGGAAAUUUAAAGGUUGGGAUUUGGUUGAGACAAGUUGUGGGGAAAUUUUGAGGUUUAGUGAGGAGAUUUGAAGGUUGGGAUUGAGUUGAGACAAGUCAUGCAAGGAAAUUUUGAGGUUAGAUGAAGAGAUUUAAAGGUUGGGAUUUGGUUGAGACAAGUUGUGGGGAAAUUUUGAGGUUUAGUGAGAAGAUUUUGAAGGAUGGGAUUGAGUUGAGACAAGUUAUGUGAGGAUAUUUUGUGGUUAGGUGAGGAGAUUUGAAGGUUGGGAUUGAGUUGAGACAAGUCAUGCAAGGAAAUUUUGAGGUUAGGUGAGGAGAUUUAGAUGUUUGGAUUUGAUUGAGACAAGUUAUGUAAGAAAAUUUUGAGGUUAGGUGAGGAGAUUUAAAGGUUGGGAUUUGGUUGAGACAAACUAUGUGAGGAAAUUUUGAGGUUAGGUGAGGAGAUUUAAAGGUUGGGAUUUGGUUGAGACAAGUUGUGAGGAAAUUUUGAGGUUAGGUGAGGAGAUUUAGAUGUUGGAAUUGAGUUGAGUCAAGCAAGUUAUGUGUGGAAAUUUGAGGUUAGGUGAGAAGAUUUAAAGGUAGGGAUUGAGUGGGGACAAUUCGAGGUUAGGUUAGAAGAUGGAAGUUGUUGUGGAAUUGGAUAUGUUGAAACAAUAUCAUGGAGAAAAGAUAGCAUAAGAAGAUAUGUCGUGGUAUAGGCCGUGAAAUACAAGUUGAUGAAUUUGUUAAUGGAGGUAUUGAGUGGUGAUCCUAAAUUGAAGAGAUCAUCAAUAAUCAAUCAAUAAUAUUCUUUCAACUCAAUGCAAAACACACAAAAUAAAUCAAAAUUGGGUUGAGUUUCUUCGAGGUUGAGUAUGAGACUAGAAGAUGGCCUACAUUAUUUUUGGAGUUUGAAAGAAACUGCAAUGUAUUUUGAGGUAAAGUGGUAUGUAAAUGUAUUAGAAGUUUCAUGACAUUUUGGUGGUUUGAGGUUAGGUAUGAUGAUAGAACGGAAUCUGGUGUUCAAAUUUUGGAAGAGAGAGAGAGAAGGUUUUGAAAGAGGAGGAGAAAUUUUGGAAGGAAGAAAGAGAAAUUUUGGAAGGAAGAAAGAGAAAUUUUGGAAGGAAUAAAGAGAAAUUUUGGAAGGAAGAAAGAGAAAUUUUGGAAGGAAGAAAGAGAAAUUUUGGAGUUUGAGAAGAGUUCAUAGGUUUGGAGAAAGUACCUUAGAAAGAAGUCUAAGAGAGGUUUGAGAUGAAGGCUAUAAACCAUCAACACAAUUUUUUGAAAUUUUCAUGAGCUUUAGAGAGUUUAUGCCAAGAGAUAACCUCAAACUGUAGUGCAAAUAAUUGGAAAUAUUUUGGAAAAUGGAGAGAUUUGUAUAAAAUGAGGUAGUUGAAGGAAUAUUUUUGAAAACAGUUGAUAACCGAGGGUAAGAAAAAUGGUUUUGUAUGAUAUUAGAUGGGAUAACUAUUUUUGAAUGUAGGUACAACAUGAUUUGACUGAAAAUUAUGAAGCUAUGAAAAAGGAUAGUCAAUUUGUAGAUAAGGGCCCUGUUAUAUC
RNAcentral lists this unclassified non-coding RNA (6798 nucleotides) under Nilaparvata lugens (brown planthopper). Its description in RNAcentral is "uncharacterized LOC111046005, transcript variant X1". The record is from RNAcentral. Lineage: Eukaryota; Metazoa; Arthropoda; Insecta; Hemiptera; Delphacidae.